Molecule: ribosomal RNA, 963 nt
Filed under: Triticum aestivum (bread wheat)
Lineage: Eukaryota; Viridiplantae; Streptophyta; Magnoliopsida; Poales; Poaceae
Description: partial small subunit ribosomal RNA
Source: RNAcentral
AUGUCCUCCUCCACCGCAGUCACCUCCUCUGGCCUCAACUACAACACAUCAGAACCCCUCAGCCUGACGAACUACGUUCUCUGGCGAGCCCAAGCACGAUCCCAGAUACUGGGCGCUGGCUUGUUCGGCUAUAUUGAUCAAACCAUCGAGGAGCCUCCCAGAACAAUCCUUAGCAAAGAUAAAGAUGGCAAGGAGCAUAGUUCCAACCCUGCCUAUAACUCCUGGUUAGUUCAAGAUCAGCAAAUCGUAGCAUAUCUUCUCUGCAAUCUAUCCAAGGAGGUGCUUGUUCAAGUGGCCUCGCUUGAAUCAUCACAUGCGAUCUAGACUGCGUUGGCAAAUAUGUUUUCUGCAGUUUCUUUGUCUCACGUGAACAACAUCAGAAACCCUCCGAACACCCAGAAGGGGUCCCAAUCAGCCUCCACCUACUUUGGGUAGAUGUGUGCCCUCUUCGACGAGCUUGUGGUGGUGGGAAAACCACUCGGGGAGGGAGAGUUCAUCUCCUUCAUCGUCACUGGGCUUAAUAUGGAGUAUCAGCCAAUCAUCUCUGCACUCGACGUCCGCACCAAGCCUAUCACCGUCGACACGCUCUUAUCGUUGGUAGCAAACUUCGAUCAAUGCGUCGAGAUGUUCCAUGGGAACAGCGCUGGUGGCUUUAAGUCAUCGGCAAACGCUGCCUCUAGGGGUCGCCAGGGCGGUGGCAAAGGCGUCUACCACAACCAGAAGAACGGUGGUUGCGGCGGCGGCUAUUCUGGUGGUGGUGGCCAAAACCCUACCGGCGGCUACCAUGGCAUGGGUAGCGGUGGCUACAACCACGGCGGCAGCGGCUACAACAAUCAAGGCGAUGGCAGUGGUCAAGGCGGCGGCCACCGUGGCGACGGCGGAAACUACAACAACAACUAUGGCGGCGGCGGGGGCUACUACAACAACGGCGGCCCUCCGCACCACUUCUACAACAACAAUUAA